CAUCCGUAAGGUUUCCUUCCUAUAUGGGUUUUCUCUAUAGCUUAAGUAGUGCAUUCCUGCAACUGAAGCUUAUAUUGAAGGAUUCUUCUUGGCUUGAGCAUCAGGUCAAGGCUUGAGAAAACCUCCUUUGCUUGGUUUUAUUUAUGGCUCAAGCCCUCAGAUAGUGCUGCAGUUGUAAAAAAUACUUUAGAAAUUGUUUUAUUUCUUUAUUUUUUCUCGAAAAUGUAGCUUUAACUCUCCAAAAUGUUCUAGUCCUGCAAAACAAGUAAACGUGGGG
RNAcentral lists this long non-coding RNA (277 nucleotides) under Vigna radiata. RNAcentral's name for it is "long non-coding RNA (VRAD_LNC013190)". The record is from RNAcentral. Lineage: Eukaryota; Viridiplantae; Streptophyta; Magnoliopsida; Fabales; Fabaceae.